UGAAAAACGGAGUUGGAAACAGCCGAGCACCGCCUCAGAAGCGCUGGCAGUCCUCUUCCAGCAGAAAAGACAAAACAGCCUGAGCUCCCGCGGAGGCCCGCCCACGCCGCCCACUUGGCCCCGCCCCCUCCCGCAGAAACAAACAGCCGCCGAUGUCCCGGGCGGGGCCGGAUGGCGACUGGCAGGGACUGGCUGGGAACCCCAAACAGCUCCAAUCACCCCCACCAGGCUUUAGAAGGCCACUACCACGAAGCCACGAUGAGCUAAAAUCACAAUUUCAAACCUAAUAGUCGCAUUAAAUCUUACCAUUUUCUACUACAAUUGUUAGAGUAAUUGACAUCCAAGGCUCUCCGUUAAUUAAUAAUUUUAAUAGACUUUAUAUUUUACAGCAGUUUUAGGUUCAUGGCAAAACUGAGAAAAUACAGAGGUUUCCCACAUACCCAUCUGCCCCACACAUGCAUAGACAGCCUUCUCCAUUAUUAAUAUCCUCCAUCACACUGGUACACUGGUUACAUAUGAUGAUGAAUCUAUACUAACACAGCAUAGUUUACAUGGUGGUAACAGGGUUCCCUAUUGGUCGUUAUUUAUGUUUUUAUUAAAUGCAUUUAAAAGGAAACCUGCUUAUGCACCACCUAGUAAGAUUACCCACCAUCCGCCCACCACAGGUGUGCGCACUGCCCCUGCUCAAGGCCAAAGACAAGCCCCAUUAACCUUAUUAGCAGUGGAGCUCGGGCCCAGCUUUAAUGAUUAACCUCUGUAUCUAAAAACAACAGAUCACGCUUGCUAACUCCUUUGAAAAAGAUACACAGUGUUCUAGGUCACAGACUAUUUUUAUUGGUUCUCUCCCUAUCUCCAAAAGCUGGGGCACACCUUUAAACCAAAGCUGCAUUCUUGGGGCACUUGUCCAGAGGUCCAGGAACUUCGGAUCCCCAAGCACACUGGAUCUCAGCAAAGCACACCUCCACGCAUUAGUGAACCGUUUCAGGAAGCCCUCAGGAGGGCAGGUGCUGAGAAGAGGCCCAAGACACAACACAGGUGAUCAGCUAGAAGGAUGAGUAGCUUCCAGCCAUUCCAGACUCUCUACAGAAGGUGGAGCUCUGAGAUGUGCGGCCACACAAGCCCUUUAGAUUUAGAGACCUAUUCACACCAGUUUUUCAGUAAUGAAAAAGACCUCUGGAGUAAGAGCAACCCCAAAAGAAAGUUACUGACUCAUGAUCAGUCUGCCGGUACCCAAGAAAGAACUAGGUACCAUAAUUAUUAAAUUACAAAAGCACAAGAUGUUCUUCAUCGGCCAGGCUUUAGAAACACAGUUCAAACCUUUCAUAAAUGUGAAAACUCCUUUUGUUGCCACAGCAAUGCUAACACCAAAUGCUUAACACCCUUUCUAAUAACUGUUCAAGAUUCCUUAAAUGUAUUAAAAAAUAAAUAUAAAUAAAUAAAAAAUCUCUCUCCAGGCAUCUCUCUUACUCAUUCCCCACCUCCAGUGAAAAAUCCCAAACAGUAACUGGUCCUUCAUGGCAGCUCUCUGGAGUACGGUUCAUGGGUGUGGCUGGAGGCUGAAAAGCCCAGUGAGGGGCUCCACCUUCUCCCAGGUCUCCCUGUGUUCAUUAGUGGCUGGAACCUUGGCACCCUCCCUCCAGCACCCAACUCAGGCACUUCUCAGAACACUGCUCCCUGGAGAAGAAUCGCCACCUUGCGGAGCGGCAAGAAAACGAAGGCCCUUUCCCACCUGUGCCAAGUCUGACGACAGAGGAAAGCCUUACAUGGCAGAACCGGGGAGAACACUGACCCUGUAGUGAGGUGGAGCCAGAUUCCGGCCCCAGUUCUGCUAUUUCAUCGCUUGGAGAAAGACCCCCACGUCACUGGCUCCCUUUGGGUUCCAGUUUUCUGGUCUGUAAGGUGGGAAGGAAAGACUUGGGGUAGACAUCUACUCUGAGGGCUUCCUUGGUGGCUCAGUCGGUAAAGAAUCUGCCUGCAGCGCAGGAGAUGAGGGUUCAAUCCCUGGGUCAGGAAGAUCCCCUGGAGAAGGAAAUGGCAACCCACUCCAGUAUUCUUGCCUGGAAAAUUCUAUGGACAGAGGAGCCUAGUGGGCUACACAGCCCAUGAGGUCACAAAAGUCGGACACGAGUUUGCAACUAAACCACCACCAGAUAUCUACUCUAAGUGUGGUAUAAUCCAAUUAGUGAGUGGCAACCAGCAGUCUGUUUUAAUCAAAUAGGAAAAAAAAAAAAAAAAGAGCAAAACCCAUUGCAUCGCAGAUAAUAAGGUAAGUCCUGUUUUGUGAUUCUUUUAUUUCAAUCAUGUUUGGUCUCUCAAUUUGAAGAUAACUGUGGCUUCACUGUACAACAUAUUUCUCACAUUGGGGCUGCAGAGAAAUGGAGCAUUUGUUCUAGGGUCCCUGAAAGAUUGCAUGCCUGUGGGAAAAUGAAGGAGCAAUUUCCCAAUGAUUAUACCAUAGAUCGGAGAAGGAAAUGGCAACCCACUCCAGUAUUCUUGCCUAGAGAAUCCUGUGGACAGAGGAGCCUGGUGGGUUGCUGUCCAUAGGGUCACACAGAGUUGGACACAACUGAAGCGACUUAGCCUGCAUGCAUGCAUUGGAGAAGGAAAUGGCAACCCACUCCAGUAUUCUUGCCUGGAGAAUCCCAGGGGCAGAGGAGCCUGGUGGGCUGCCGUCUAUGGGGUCGCACAGAGUCGGACACAACUGAAG
Dama dama (fallow deer) is the source of this 2707-nucleotide long non-coding RNA. RefSeq lists it as uncharacterized. The record is from RefSeq and is a predicted model, not a curated record. The transcript is spliced from 2 exons. NCBI's taxonomy places the organism in Eukaryota, Metazoa, Chordata, Mammalia, Artiodactyla, Cervidae.